AUUCCGUAUGAUCAUUGAAGUUAAGCAACGUCGAGCCUGGUCAGUACGUUGAUUAGUGAUCGCUUGGGAAUACCAGGUGCUGUAAU
Molecule: non-coding RNA, 86 nt
Organism: Acanthosepion pharaonis
Lineage: Eukaryota; Metazoa; Mollusca; Cephalopoda; Sepiida; Sepiidae
Source: the annotation of a GenBank genome assembly